RNAcentral lists this ribosomal RNA (450 nucleotides) under Stenotrophomonas sp. SAM-B. RNAcentral describes it as "bacterial SSU rRNA". It matches the Rfam family "Bacterial small subunit ribosomal RNA", at positions 350 to 792 of the family's 1533-position model. The record is from RNAcentral. Lineage: Bacteria; Pseudomonadati; Pseudomonadota; Gammaproteobacteria; Lysobacterales; Lysobacteraceae.
AGCAGUGGGGAAUAUUGGACAAUGGGCGCAAGCCUGAUCCAGCCAUGCCGCGUGUGUGAAGAAGGCCUUCGGGUUGUAAAGCACUUUUGUCCGGAAAGAAAAGCUCUGGGUUAAUACCCCGGGGUCAUGACGGUACCGGAAGAAUAAGCACCGGCUAACUUCGUGCCAGCAGCCGCGGUAAUACGAAGGGUGCAAGCGUUACUCGGAAUUACUGGGCGUAAAGCGUGCGUAGGUGGUUAGUUAAGUCUGUCGUGAAAGCCCCGGGCUCAACCUGGGAAUGGCGAUGGAUACUGGCUCGCUAGAGUGCGGUAGAGGAGAGUGGAAUUCCCGGUGUAGCAGUGAAAUGCGUAGAGAUCGGGAGGAACAUCAGUUGCGAAGGCGGCUCUCUGGACCAGCACUGACACUGAGGCACGAAAGCGUGGGGAGCAAACAGGAUUAGAUACCCUAGUA